AGCCUGUUCUAUGCAUUUAGAAUGACAGAGAAGUAGAUGAUUAUGUGUUCACGAACAAAAGAGGCUUUUCUUAUAUUACAGGAGAGAAGCCCUAAAUUAUCUGUGAGUUUAUAUAGUAAUGGACAUAGCUGCAUGCCACCAUCUUCAGAGAGAAAGAAGAAACAGUUUCUCUCGAAUAAAAACAAAUCUGUGAUUAAAAAGAGGAAAGAUCCUAGUUUAAAAGCAGAACGAAGAGAAUGACGUAGAAGUUCAUCCUUCUUUUCCACUGCUCAGAAGGCCAGAUCCUGCAGAAUACCGAGAAACACAUGCAGACCUUCAUUUCUGCGGUAUCUUGUACAACUUUUCAAAACAUAAAAUAUGAAGUGAGUGUCUGUUGCUGGAUAAUUAGAACCUUGGUCUGCCUCUGUACAUCAGGUGACAUCUGUGGAAGAAGCUAUCGGUUGGGCUCCUUCAUCUCAGAAGAAUGGCUCUACCAACUCUUUGCCAGUGUUUCUCAGGGCUAUGGACAACAGCAAGCCUCGAGAGGAAAUAGCAUUGACAAAUCUCCAAGACUUUCAGGUUUACACCAUAAGUCAAUAAAAUCAUCUACUACAUAUCAUAAGAAGACUCUUGCUGUCUCUCUGAACAAGAUAUUUCUACAGGAAGCACAAAAAACACAUUUUUUAAUGAAUCAGUCUCCAAAAUUUCUCAAAAGAAGAGGCGAUGGGCUCAGGAUAUGACAAAGCAAUGUGGCAUUGGUGACUUCACGUCUGGGAUGGAAGCUUGCAGUUGGGCCAUCUGUGAGGAAUCUUACUAAAGCUGUGUAGAAAUACCAUCAUGACUAGACAAAGAUCAGAGACUACAGGAGUCAUCUGGGCCUACCUCAGCUCCAGGAAAGUAUUUGUAGGAAUAAACUACCCUUUUUAGGUACUCUACCAAUUCAUGCUCUAAAAUACAUUAACUGCAGAUUUGAAACAAAUCUGAGCUUGAAUCACCCUCUAGUGCUGAAAUAAUGACAACACGUUAUCAACAGAGGACUUGCCACAAAUCUGCAUUCCAGGUACCACCUAGUAUUGAAAUAGUGGAAGUGAUUAUAGGCUCAGAAAAAAAAAAAAAAAAAAAAACUUCCUUAGGGUUUCUGGAAGCACAGGCAACAAUAGAACAUUAGAAGAACAGAAUAAAUACGUAAUUCCUUAUGGUACAGAUCACAUCAUACACCAAGCUUCAAGACUUUCAUGAAAACUUGAAUUCAUCUAAUGGCCAAAAUAAGGAAAAAGAAACUAAUUACAGAGUAAUCAGCAUGAAUAAAUCUCAGAUGGAGAAUUUAAAAGUUGUUUGAUGGAAAAUGAUGAGAUUCAAAAGAACACAAGAAUACAAUUCAAGAGAAAAACAGAGAAAGUUGACAUAGAAUUGAAGCAGCUACAUCUAUUCAAACAGAUGUUUUUGAACUAAACAGUACACUAAGCCAAAUUUAAAGUUCAACGGAAGACAUCAGCAGCAGAAUAGGUCAAACAGAAAAAAGAAUUAGUGAGAUCAGUGCAGAGCAUUUCAAAAGACACAUUUGGAGAAGAAAGAAGAAAAUAUAACAAAAAGAAAAGAAAAAAACCUAUGGGAAUAUUUGCAUAGCAUUAAAGUAUUAAAUAUUCAGUUUGGGGAAGUUCAGUAGGGACUCAGGAAUGCCAAAGAAAUAUAAGGCUACUAAAAUUAUUAACAGAAAACUUCCCAAAUCUAGUAAAGGAUACAAGUGUUCAUGUACAGAAAGGUAAAAGGUCAUCUCUCAGAUUUAACUCAACCAGAUCUGCCUAAAGAUCUAUAUAAUCAAAGUAGAUUCCAAGGCUAGAGGAGAAAAGAAACAAAUUAAUCAAUAAAGGUACCCCAAUUACUUCACAGCCAACUUUUCAGCAGAACCUUCACAGGUGAAGAGAGACAGACAUGUGAUUUUCAUAGUACUGAAGAGAAAAACUGCCAACAAAAAAUACCUUACUCAAUAAAUGUAUGCUUUAUUUUUCUACUACAUUACUUCAUGCAAAAUUUCAUAACAAAACAAGAAUAACAAUAUUUAAUACAUUGUAUGUUACUGUCUGCAAAGUAGUCUGAGUACAAGACAUAAACUAAAAAG
This 2098-nucleotide long non-coding RNA is filed under the name Chinchilla lanigera (long-tailed chinchilla). RNAcentral's name for it is "lncRNA (ENSCLAG00000026673.1)". Lineage: Eukaryota; Metazoa; Chordata; Mammalia; Rodentia; Chinchillidae. The record is from RNAcentral.